UCAUAUUUCAGAAGCGGUCAAAAGUCAGGAGAUCACCAUUAUCUUAAUGUAAAAUGUAACAGGUAGACAUAUAGGGAAAAUUUCAAAACCCACUGGGAAUUAAGGAUCAAUGAUAUGAAUCAGGCAACACAAUUAGAUGCCAAGAGGCUCUGUUAUAUCCACACCCUCUAAUUUCCCAAACAAAACUCAAUGCCAAGGACAAGGGAAGGCUGGGGGCCAAAUGAUCAACUUGGAAAAUCACCUACCCAACCCCAGCUCUUUGGUUCCAUAGACCUGAGUGAUGAAAGUGGACACAGCCCUUUGUUUC
This 307-nucleotide long non-coding RNA is filed under the name Bos taurus (domestic cattle). RNAcentral describes it as "long non-coding RNA NONBTAT026755". The record is from RNAcentral. Lineage: Eukaryota; Metazoa; Chordata; Mammalia; Artiodactyla; Bovidae.